Long non-coding RNA from Haliotis rufescens (red abalone), 526 nucleotides. RefSeq lists it as uncharacterized. The record is from RefSeq and is a predicted model, not a curated record. NCBI's taxonomy places the organism in Eukaryota, Metazoa, Mollusca, Gastropoda, Lepetellida, Haliotidae. The transcript has 3 exons.
UAGCUAUAAUUACCCUCUCUAUAAUGCAAUAUCGUAUUAUCCAUUUGUAAUGAAUGAUAGUAACACUUAAUCGGAUUGGAUUCAGUUAAAUCUACAUUUCUCAAGGUCUCUAACAUCGAGAUUUGAAAUAUCUUUCAUGUAAAUACCUACUUUGUCAUGUGACUUGUAUAUAUUCGUGUAUAUUCAGAAUCGUACCUUCGCACAAUGUCUUUGCACAAUGGCACAAGCAACGUGGUCUCUUUCUGUAAAAAAUAGCACUCUUUAUAUCAGCCACAGCAAAGAUCCCGAACCACGUGCAGUCAGCAGAGUUACAGCGUCUGGUUACCGUCUUGCAGUUACGAUACAGAAUAUGUGCACGUAGCUUUCAAUGACCAGACGGAAAAAAGAAUUCAUUUCAAGUAUGUUGAGAAGAAAACGACCCAUCUCUGAAAAAAUCACCUCACCCAAGAAAUGAGAAUGAAAAGUGCAAAGUCUCCCAAGGAAUUGUCUUGUAAUAAAGCAUGUGAAUAAAUAAUUUUUUGAAAUA